UACGUAGGGGGCUAGCGUUGUCCGGAAUCAUUGGGCGUAAAGAGCGUGUAGGCGGCCCGGUAAGUCCGCUGUGAAAGUCGGGGGCUCAACCCUCGGAUGCCGGUGGAUACUGUCGGGCUCGAGUACGGAAGGGGCAAUCGGAAUUCUUGGUGUAGCGGUGAAAUGCGUAGAUAUCAAGAGGAACACCUGAGGUGAAGACGGGUUGCUGGGCUGAUACUGACGCUGAGGCGCGAAAGCUAGGGUAGCAAACGGG
RNAcentral lists this ribosomal RNA (253 nucleotides) under uncultured bacterium. RNAcentral describes it as "partial 16S ribosomal RNA". It matches the Rfam family "Bacterial small subunit ribosomal RNA", at positions 524 to 776 of the family's 1533-position model. The record is from RNAcentral.